GAUAAGUUUUUUUCUUAUUGAUAAGUUAACCAAUGUAAUUUGAAUGGAACGUUCAUCGUCUGGUUCUUUUAUGUGGCUUAAUUUACAAUUCAGAUUGACUUAAUUUGAAUAGUAUGUCUUCCAUGUGUUCUUUUGUCGUCUUAAUAUAUUAUUAUUCAUCUUUGCCUAAUUUGCAUGGAAUGUCGUGUCACAUGGCAUUGCUCCACCAAUGGCAUGGCAGAAUACGCUUAUCACGUGUAGUAUGGCUAUUUAAGCGUGGGAAUUUCCAAUACGCUUCAGUCUUCGUCACGUCGCCGAAAGCUGUGAAGACUCACCAGAAUGCCGCUGUGAACCCAGAAAACCCCUGUAUACUCCAGUAAACUACAGUACAUACAUUCCUGAUACCCAUCCAUUGUGUGUAGCGACGGGUGUUGGCCCCGCAUACGAUUUGUGAGUUAUAUUCAAAUCUAAUUGCUAAGUUAUAGGCUAACUGUAAACUUUAUGAAGAUGCUGUAUCUAUCUCAACCUGUGAAACUCUAAACACUGUGCUCUAAUUAACUUUCAUUUAUUGUGAACAUAUUGUUUAAUUGUCACUGUGUUUAAAUAUUGUACUUUGGUGUGUAAUUG
This 606-nucleotide long non-coding RNA is filed under the name Patiria miniata (bat star). RNAcentral's name for it is "uncharacterized LOC119720052". Lineage: Eukaryota; Metazoa; Echinodermata; Asteroidea; Valvatida; Asterinidae. The record is from RNAcentral.